Molecule: ribosomal RNA, 253 nt
Filed under: uncultured bacterium
Lineage: Bacteria
Description: partial 16S ribosomal RNA
Rfam family: Bacterial small subunit ribosomal RNA
Source: RNAcentral
UACGUAGGGUGCUAGCGUUGUUCGGAAUCAUUGGGCGUAAAGCGCGUGUAGGCGGUUAGUUAAGUCGAGUGUGAAAGCCCUGGGCUCAACCUAGGAAGUGCAUUCGAAACUGCUGAGCUUGAGUUCUGGAGAGGAAGGCGGAAUUCUCGGUGUAGAGGUGAAAUUCGUAGAUAUCGAGAGGAACACCGGUGGCGAAGGCGGCCUUCUGGACAGCAACUGACGCUGAGACGCGAAAGCGUGGGGAGCAAACAGG